RNAcentral lists this long non-coding RNA (7307 nucleotides) under Lactuca sativa (garden lettuce). RNAcentral describes it as "long non-coding RNA (LSAT_LNC009067)". Lineage: Eukaryota; Viridiplantae; Streptophyta; Magnoliopsida; Asterales; Asteraceae. The record is from RNAcentral.
UCUAACACUUCCUAAGUGUACAUGCAACCCUAAAUACCUUGGAUCUAUGUUUUCUCUAUUAUACAUGCAAAUAAGAACUUCCAAGGUAUUAUCCUAAUCUAGCAUACAAAACAAUGAAUGUAACAAGAUAGAAUACAUACCUCUUGAUGUAGAAAGUCUUCAUGAAGCUUGAGUGCCUAGUGCCCCAAGUGUGACACCUCAAAUGGUUCACACAACACCAAAUACACAUGGAAUGACUUGAGAGAAAAACCCACACUUCAUGAAAUCGGCUAGCCCUUCUAGUACACCCACUAGUACCAAUUUUGGUGAAUAAUAUGAUGCUUAUAUAGUGUGUUACAAUUAGGGUUACACCAUGUAAACCCUAAUUGUCAUGACCUUUCAUUUCCAUGACCCAUGGGUUAUGUAACCUCCAUGGAGCAUCCUAUGGGUUUAACCCAACUUGAUUAUCCAUGGAGCUUUGGCCCACUAUAUAAGUUAUGGAUGAUUUGCACAAUCAACCCAUAUAUUUAAUUAGUCUUCUUUUGAUCACUUAAUUAAUCCUAGAUUAAUUCUUGAUCAAUACUAAUUAAAUACUAUUAUUCUUAUUAUUAAUAUACUAGAACUUAUAAUAUAUUAAUAACCAUAAGUGUCUUAUUUCUCUCAUUUAGUCUAUCCAAGUGCAUGAUGCCAUGCAACCCAAAUGGACCAUGUCGGGUCGGGUCAAGUCUUACCAAUUAUAGUUAUGGACUUAGACAUUAAUCCAACAGUCUCCCACUUGGAUAAGUCUAAAACUAUUAUUGCGUAUGACUUCAGGAACCAACUGGCAAUCGUAGCUCUCAAAAGCUUCUGUCGAACUCUGACCUUGUAGAUGAACUCUGACCUUUGUCAAUGACUUGUCCAUUAGAUAAGGGAUCAUAUAUUCCUCCAUUCUAGAUAUCAUAUGGACUGAGACAUGGAUUAUAAUCAUUCUCUCUGUCCAUUUGUUGUUUCCCGAUUUCCGAUUUAUGACGACUGACUAAUUGAACAAAUCAAAUCAGUCCUGGCCCGGCCGAGCACUUCCAUUUGUCAUCAUCAAAUCAUCGAGGGGCCCACAGAUAUCGCUUUUAUCCCGAAGGUAAAAGGAAUGGAUAAACUUCGACUCAUAUGGCUUGUUCUACUACUUGUUGAAUCAUACACAAAGGCACGUUUUAUAGCACCGAGUUACCAAAUGCGUUUUCGUGCAAUCAAUGUACUAUCAACUCAUAGUAACAACUCAUAUCUCUAGGUUUGAAGAAUAUAAGAUAUUAUCGUCUCAUGAUCACUCGUGAUAAAAUCCAUGAAGUGAUUCCAAUGAGCGCGGGUUGAAUCCAAUACUCAGAACUUAUGAGCACUCAUGAGUGUUGUAGCCCUUUGUCCAACACCUUAGACCUCUACAAGCCAACCCAUGACAGUCUUAAUUCAUAUCUACUUCCAACAUAUGACCGACUGUGGAUGGUUUGAAUAACUUAGUCAUUCCGGAAGAAUAACCCAGUUUAUUCGGGAAGUCAAAACAUGCAAAAUGAAACACAAUAAUAAUUGAAUCCAAUAUGGUAUCAACCCUUUGAACAUAAAUAAAACACCUUUUAUUUAUCACCAUAUGAUUACACAUUAUUCAUUGUAUACUGUUUCAGCUAUCAACUUUAUUCUUGAAUUUAAAACAAUAGUUGUCCCAUGCUCCAAGCAUGUACACUAUGUUUUCUUAAACACUAGUCAUGCCACACACCAAGUAUGCAUACUAUGUUUGUCUAUGAUCUUUACUUUGUGAACUAGAUCAAUUGAACAUAACUUCAAUGAUUCUCUUUUCACACUCCCAAAUCCUUACUGCAAAUGCAAGAAUUCCAAAUUCAUGCCAUUUACUGAAAUCUGUUAGAUUCUAAACUUAUAUGCAUUGAUCCUCUUGUAAUGAUUAUGCACAAAGUCACAAAGACUUGGCAACAAUCAUUACAGAGUAUUCCAAAGGAGAUCAACUCCUUGGAAAUAUCCUUCUUGCAUUAAGUUUCCUUAAUCUUACACAGAUUGAAAAUUCUAACUUUGAAACAUUUCCAGAUUCCAUUUUGACUAUCACUUCUGAACAAGAGUUGCCUCCUUACAGAUUAUGUCAAUAUGGUCCUUCCAGAAUUAUCACUAUACUUCCAAUUGUCCUUGAGUAACCAAUCUUUGGUAAACCUUAGAUUGUCCUCGACAAUUGUUUAAUCCUUUUAGUCAUAUCCAGUUCUAAACCUUUUCCCUUCUUAAUGCCCCAGGCAUUUGGAAAAUUUUAGAACGGAUGAAUAUAGCACAUGUAAUCGAUCCUAUAUCCGAAGCAUAUGGGACACGAUUCAUGAUGUCUUACAUAAAGACUAAACCAGUCUUUUGCUAUAAUAUUUCCAUUUCAAUUUGCCAAGUUCUCAUAAUUCAGAUUAUGAAAAGGGAUGCCGUAAUCAUAAUCGAAUUUUAGAACGCAAAUAAUGGACCCAUAUACAGAAUUUCCUUAUGUUGAGCCAUUCCAACAUGAAAUUCAUAUAUAUCCUUGACUAAAUGAUUAAAACCUCACGAUCUAAGCUUAUAGAUUUGAGAUGAAGCAUAAUUUCCUCUCCCUUAAUUAUAGCAAAACAACUUUUUCCCAAUUGAAACUUUUGUUUUCUAUAAUUAACAUUGCUAACUUGCAAUACUUAUCAUAAUUAUCAUGCUCCCACUAACAUGAUGAUUAUUAGCAUAACACUUAUGCUCCCACUAGCUUUGACAUGUACUCAGAAAUCAGCUGGACAGUCUGAAAUUUAGAUUCAUACACCCUUUCCGUAGAUAGCUCACCUGUGUGUCUAAGCAAUUUCAAGAACCAUGAAAAGGGAUACCGUAAUCAUGGUCUCAAUUGCUUAGGCAUUUGCCAUUUCUCACAAGUCCAUGUUAGUGUGCCGGUUAACCACACGCGCUCCACUAACGACUUUUGAAAAUGCAAAUAACACAAUUGAUAUCUUCGUAAAAUCUACUUAGUGAAAGCGUUUCCUCACCAUCAUUUUCAUGAAUCGGAGAGAAACCUUAUGACACUUAGAUUUAUAUGGUGUAUGAGUUCCUACCCAUAUGAAUUUGUCAAACCAUAAUCACAAGACAAAGAUAAUGACAAAUCCAAAACCAUAUGGAUUGAACUCAAUCUUAACUUCUUGCCACCUGGCAGCUCAAGGGCCUGCCAUUGCUUCCAAGUUGUUAUGCAACAAACUGAGAACUCUAAGAACUCAUAUGCAAAGCCAACUUUAACUGGAAUGGGCACAGAUAUGUCAACACGAUAGGUUAUAAACCUCAAGUCGUGUGCUAGUGAAGAACUUUAGGUUUUAUUCUUGAUUAUUUCUUGAGACUUUCAAGACCUUUAAGACUCCCACUGUCCUCUUGACAUAUAAGACUCCCUUGUCAAACAUCCAAGAGAUAGUGCGGAUUCUAAUCAAGAAAAACACUUUACCCAAUUGGCCUAAGUUGGUCUUUGUUUUAUCCAAAACAUCACAACUUACCAAUUUCAAAUGUACAAGAGUAGAAAACUUUUACUCUUACAUUUGACAAGUGUUUUAAACCUUCUUUAAGACAUGUCACUCAAAUGACAAUCUUGGAGUAUGACUCUAAGACUUGUAUUGGAACGAAGUAUGACUCAUCUUCUUGAUUUAACCAUUUCAACAAUUCAAGUUCCUCUUCUUAGUCAUAAGAAUGCACUAAGAUUUCCUUAGAGAACUAAUUUUGAUAUGGUUUCUUAAUCAUUAAGAUGAUCACAAAACUGAUACUAAAGUACUCUCCCAUCUUUUCAGAUUUGAGAAACUUUUAUCCUUCUGCCUUAUUUGAUUCUUCUUAUCGAUCUUUAGUGGUGGACUUAAUCAGUGCACAAGAAUGUGUACUCGAUCCCUUAGUCCUUUACUUGACUCACACAUCCAUGUGAACAAGUAAUUAGUCUUAAUUUUCCAAAACUUGAAAGUUCUCAUUCAUCAUGCUAUACAACUUGCAUGAUUCCAAGUUCCGGUCCAAUUGAAACUUGGGUGAUGAGAAUCUUUCCUUAUUUGGUAAAUCUAGACAUUACCACAAAUGAAAGAAUCAAUUUCAUAUUUCCACUCUUGCUCUUAAUGGAAUCAUAUAAGCAACAAUUUUUCCUCAAAAGCCAUUGUAAGGAUAUUUUAAAAUAAAUAAAAUCAAAAAAAUUUUCUUUUAUUUUAAAACUUUGCGGAAAAACUUAUCCUUACAAUCCAUAUGAAAACUUGUUGUUAUCUAUUCCUAAGCAAUAUCUCAUAACUCCUAAGAAGUAGCUCAAGAAUCCGAUCUUCAAACUAUGCGAUAGAAAUCCAUCUACGCCAUCAGAUUCAGCAUAUUCUUUCUUUAAGUUUCUUCACUUUUCUUUGAUUCUUAAAACAUCACCAUGUGACCCAGUCACAUCAUGUAUCAAGAAUCUCAGAAUAGAAACUUAACAGAGUUAGAUAGUGGACUUUACCUGAAGUAGAGUCAAACUUAUUGACUUUAACAUCCUUAGGUAAAUUUGGCAGCUUCGCAACCAAUGCCCCUUCCUUUGGCAAUAUAAACAUAUGGACCCUUUGAUAAUGGUACACGGGACUAUCACAGACUUAGCUUUUCUCUUUACCAUUUGGUCAACCGAGUUGACUAUGGCCGAUCCCUUUCCAUUGGGAAGAGAAUGCUUUACUGGAUAUCCAAUGUCAUCAUUGUCAAUGUCCAUAAAGUUUUAGGAAGUUGAUCUUAGCAAAUAGAUAAGAUCAUUAAGGGUCUUGUCAUAGUCUGUUUCAUAGGUGUCCCAAAGGAACUCACUAUGUGACUUAGAAAGUGAUUGAACCACCAACUUUCUCAAGACUUUGACACCCAACUCUCCCGGCUUGUCAAUAUGUGACUACAUCUCCAAGAUGUGACCACACCUAGACCUUGCCUUGCCAAUAGGGCCUGAGUGACCUUAAACUUUUCAAGAACUUGUGGGUUAGGGAGAAUAAUUUGAAGAGGUGAAGAAGUAUGAUAUCCAUGGGACAUCAUCUUCAUUAGGAAACCUUGUUUCAAGAGAUUUGGGAAGAUCAUAGGUGUCUAAACCAGACAUCUUUUGGGAGAUAUUCAAGAUAGUUGAUUUAAAGUCCUUAAUAUGACACCCAAUAUGAAAUAUUAAGGCUAGGACCCAACAAACUAUUUUAUAACUUAGAAGAGGUAUGCCGUAAUCCAAGCUAUAAAAUAUUUGAAGGUAGGUGAAUGACGAUUCACCAAUUUCCACCAAGAUAAACGAAAUGUAUUAUUAGGUUUUAAUUGGUUUUGAAACUCCUAGAUCUUUGAGAUUCAUUGAACUUUUCAAAGGCAUGUUUCAAUCUCGAGUGUGCCCUUCAGGUUUUGUGACUGGGAUGCCGAGGAUCACAAAACAAGGUGUGAAGUAACCAUGCAAAUCACUUGGUACCCUUAAUAAAUUACCCCUCAAUCGAUGUGCCGGUUAACCACACACGCUCCAUCGAUACUAUGAUAAAUAUUAAGUCACCCUUUACCUACCUUGUUAAGUCCAAGUUAGUGUGCCGGUUAACCACACACGCUCCACUAACGACUUAGACAAAGUGUAAAGUGUAAUUUCAUGGAUUAGCACCUUAUUCACAUUUUUCCUAAGUAACUAAGAUUGGGUAUUAUUAAGAGUUUAGUUACUUAGUAUUAUCAUUAAUACUUUUAAUGAAGGGAGAAUUCUAGUCCUGUCAAACCCGUUCGGCUAACGACCCUCCACCAGUCAAGCAAGCGGUGGGUGAGAGUGGACACCCAUUAAGUUGCCAUUUUAUAGGCAACAACCUUAUACCCACCUUAUAGACCGGCUUCGUGAAUGAGGCGUACUAGCGGUAAGACUGACUUUACUCUUAUACAUAUAUAUAUUAUUAACUUAUAAUAUUAUAAAGUAUAAGGGUUGAAUUUUAACUUUUAAAAUUCUAAGGGCUAACUUGGAAUUAAAGUAUUCAUACUUGAAAACUUUUCAAAUUCCAAAACUUGAGGGCAAGUUUUGAAACUAUUCAAAACUAAUUAAUUCCAUAACUUAUGUGUUUAAAGUAGUUUUAAUCCAAAAACUCUUCAAGUUCCAUAACUUGAGGACAAGUUAUGGAAGACUUUAAACUAAUAAAAGAACUAACUUUUUCUUUAUUUUAUAACUUAUGGAUUUAAUUAUGGUUACAUAUUUUUCUUUAAUGAAGUGACUCUUGAACUUCCAUAACUUGAGGACAAGUUAUGGAGUCAAAAAAAAUUAUUCAAUGACACAAGACUCUUCAUUUUGUAACCAUUGCCAACUCUUAUGAAUUUUAUGAGUCUUUAAUGUGACUCUUCAUGUAACUUGAGGACAAGUUACACAAACACAUUUUAUACUCAACUCUUAGAUUAAAAUGGAUUGAAAACAACUAUUUCACUCAACAUUUCUAUUAAUCUAAGCAACUCAUAAGAACAAGAUAAUUCAAAUCAAACUUUUUCAUGUAAUUAGUCUAAACCUUAAACUAAUACAAAACAUGAAUCUAUUGACAAUUAUCUUUGAAAAUGGAUUAGCAUGAACAUUACCACAUCAAAAACAAGUUUAUAAGUUCAAAAACAACUUAGGGUAAUGUUCCUAGUCCAUUUCUAGCCAAAAAACUCGAAAAUAUGCUGUCUGGGGGUCCAACUCGUCGAGUGCAUGAACAAACUCGGCGAGUUGGAUCGAAUUCAUCACUUUUUAGGCAUGGACUCGUCGAGUCUCCUGAUGGACUCGCCGAGUCUGAUGGCCAGACAGCACCAGAUUCGUUUUUUCAGCUUCUAUUGCAGGUAUAACAAGAAAACAAGCCUAGGCUCUGAUACCACUGUUGGGUUUUGAGCAUUCUAACACUCCUAAGUGUACAUGCAACCCUAAAUACCUUGGAUCUAUGUUUUCUCUAUUUUACAUGCAAAUAAGAACUUCCAAGGUAUUAUCCUAAUCUAGCAUACAAAACAAUGAAUGUAACAAGAUAGAAUACAUACCUCUUGAUGUAGAAAGUCUUCAUGAAGCUUGAGUGCCUAGUGCCCCAAGUCUGACACCUAAAAUGGUUCACACAACACCAAAUACACAUGGAAUGACUUGAGAGAAAACCCACACUUCAUGAAAUCGGCUAGCCCUUCUAGUACACCCACUAGUGCCGAUUUUGGUGAAUAAUAUGAUGCUUAUAUAGUAUGUUACAAUUAGAGUUACACCAUGUAAACCCUAAUUGUCAUGACCUUUCAUUUCCAUGACCCAUGGGUUAUGUAACCUCCAUGGAGCAUCCAUGGACCAUCCUAUGGGUUUAACCCAACUUGAUUAUCCAUGGAGCUUUGGCCCACUAUAUAAGUUAUGGAUGAUUUGCACAAUCAAC